AGUAAGGUCAGCUAAUUUAAGCUUUUGGGCCCAUACCCCAAACAUGUGGGUUAAACUCCCCCCUUUACUG
Molecule: transfer RNA, 70 nt
Filed under: Petroscirtes breviceps (striped poison-fang blenny mimic)
Lineage: Eukaryota; Metazoa; Chordata; Actinopteri; Blenniiformes; Blenniidae
Also listed under: 3 other names
Description: tRNA-Met
Rfam family: tRNA
About the family: Transfer RNA (tRNA) molecules are approximately 80 nucleotides in length.
Source: RNAcentral